GAUGAACGCUGGCGGCGUGCUUAACACAUGCAAGUCGAACGAUGAAGCCCAGCUUGCUGGGUGGAUUAGUGGCGAACGGGUGAGUAACACGUGAGUAACCUGCCCUUAACUCUGGGAUAAGCCUGGGAAACUGGGUCUAAUACCGGAUAGGAGCGCCUACCGCAUGGUGGGUGGUGGAAAGAUUUAUCGGUUUUGGAUGGACUCGCGGCCUAUCAGCUUGUUGGUGAGGUAAUGGCUCACCAAGGCGACGACGGGUAGCCGGCCUGAGAGGGUGACCGGCCACACUGGGACUGAGACACGGCCCAGACUCCUACGGGAGGCAGCAGUGGGGAAUAUUGCACAAUGGGCGAAAGCCUGAUGCAGCGACGCCGCGUGAGGGAUGACGGCCUUCGGGUUGUAAACCUCUUUCAGUAGGGAAGAAGCGAAAGUGACGGUACCUGCAGAAGAAGCACCGGCUAACUACGUG
This 466-nucleotide ribosomal RNA is filed under the name uncultured bacterium. Its description in RNAcentral is "partial 16S ribosomal RNA". It matches the Rfam family "Bacterial small subunit ribosomal RNA", at positions 28 to 507 of the family's 1533-position model. The record is from RNAcentral.